CCCUGGCUCAGGACGAACGCGGGCGGCGUGCCUUAAUACAUGCAAGUCGAGCGGAAUGAUGAAGAAGCUUGCUUCUUCUGAUUUUAGCGGCGGACGGGUGAGUAACACGUGGGCAACCUACCUUGUAGAUUGGGAUAACUCCGGGAAACCGGGGCUAAUACCGAAUAAUCCAUUUUGCUUCAUGGCAAGAUGUUGAAAGGCGGCUUCGGCUGUCACUACGAGAUGGGCCCGCGGCGUAUUAGCUAGUUGGUAGGGUAAUGGCCUACCAAGGCGACGAUACGUAGCCGACCUGAGAGGGUGAUCGGCCACACUGGGACUGAGACACGGCCCAGACUCCUACGGGAGGCAGCAGUAGGGAAUCUUCCACAAUGGACGAAAGUCUGAUGGAGCAACGCCGCGUGAGUGAAGAAGGUUUUCGGAUCGUAAAACUCUGUUGUAAGGGAAGAACACGUACGAGAGUAACUGCUCGUACCUUGACGGUACCUUAUUAGAAAGCCACGGCUAA
Molecule: ribosomal RNA, 505 nt
Filed under: Sporosarcina sp. CL5.88
Lineage: Bacteria; Bacillati; Bacillota; Bacilli; Caryophanales; Caryophanaceae
Description: bacterial SSU rRNA
Rfam family: Bacterial small subunit ribosomal RNA
Source: RNAcentral